RNAcentral lists this long non-coding RNA (342 nucleotides) under Setaria viridis. RNAcentral describes it as "long non-coding RNA (SVIR_LNC004931)". The record is from RNAcentral. Lineage: Eukaryota; Viridiplantae; Streptophyta; Magnoliopsida; Poales; Poaceae.
GGACCGUCCAUGGCUUUCUUCGGCCAGAGUAUGUAGGAGAGCCUGGACCAUCGCCGUCUUGCCCUCAUCAGCUCCUUUAGCAUGCCAUGUUUGGCUGGUACCAUGUUAAGAUCUGGCUCUGAACUCUGGAGCAGGGAUGUGAGUGUACUUUCUCGAGGCGUUGUGGACCGCAAUGCGUUGGUGACAUGGACCAUCAUGCAUCAGAGCAACAUCAUGGAAGCAUCAGAGACUGAAAUCUCCUUGCUACUGGUGGGGCACAGGGAUUUGGGUGAUCUUGGAAUAAUAUUUGGCUGAUUUUGUGCUUGGAAUUCAUGGAUAAAGAAGAUUUGGUUGCUUAUUUAU